This 233-nucleotide unclassified non-coding RNA is filed under the name Paraglomus occultum. RNAcentral describes it as "partial contains 5.8S ribosomal RNA and internal transcribed spacer 2". Lineage: Eukaryota; Fungi; Glomeromycota; Glomeromycetes; Paraglomerales; Paraglomeraceae. The record is from RNAcentral.
GUGAAUCAUCGAAUCUUUGAACGCAAAUUGCGCUCUUUUCGGAAGGCAUGUCUGUUUGAGGGCACCAUUUAAAAAAUAAUGUGCAGCGCUUUUUGUUGCUCACGGUGAUGAGCUUUCCAAGCAUUUUAAAUUUUUGUUGUUUCAUAAUGUACAGCGUGAAAGUUUUUUUCAGUUCGAGUGUAGUAAAAUCUUUGUUUGGGUUGUGAAGAAACAUAAUCGCGCAAUGGGUGAGG